CGGGUCAACAGAGGGAUGCAAAACCGCGAGGUGGAGCGAACCCCUAAAAGCCGUCCCAGUUCAGAUUGCAGUCUGCAACUCGACUGCAUGAAGUCGGAAUCGCUAGUAAUCGCGGAUCAGCAUGCCGCGGUGAAUACGUUCCCGGGCCUUGUACACACCGCCCGUCACACCAUGAGAGUCGGGAACACCCGAAGUCCGUAGCCUAACCGCAAGGAGGGCGCGGCCGAAGGUGGGUUCGAUAAUUGGGGUGAAGUCGUAACAAGGUAAC
Molecule: ribosomal RNA, 268 nt
Filed under: uncultured bacterium
Lineage: Bacteria
Description: partial 16S ribosomal RNA
Rfam family: Bacterial small subunit ribosomal RNA
Source: RNAcentral